Molecule: ribosomal RNA, 2679 nt
Filed under: Triticum aestivum (bread wheat)
Lineage: Eukaryota; Viridiplantae; Streptophyta; Magnoliopsida; Poales; Poaceae
Description: partial small subunit ribosomal RNA
Source: RNAcentral
UCCAGCUCCUCCUCCGCGUCCAGCAGUAGCCUCCCGACGGCCGUACAUCCACAGUAACACGGCACUCGUGCGCUUCGUGGCGGUACGGUGGGCAGCUGAUCGUGUGGGGCACAUCGUCGCCGAGUAGCUAGUAUUAGUAGCAGCGGCGUGGCAGGAAAGGGUGGUGCUUCCGUGCGCGUCAAGGCGGUGGCGACAGUUAAGGUCACCGUCGGUGGGUUCCUCGAUGGGCUGAGGCCGUCCAAGAUGAUGGACGAUGUGAAGGACCUCAUCGGCAGGUCCAUGGAGCUCGAGCUUGUCAGCGCCGAUCUUGACGCCAAGACGGGGAAGGAGAAACAGACGAUCAAGAGCUAUGCCCGCAAGGUGUCCGACAAGGACCGUCACAUCGUCACCUAUGAAGCAGGCUUCGACGUGCCGGCGGGCUUCGGCUCCGUCGGCGCCGUGCUGGUCACCAACGAGCACGACACGGAGAUGUUCCUCAAGGACGUGAAGCUCAUCGGCGGUGGCAACUCGGACUCGGAGCCCCACGUGAUCCGCUGCGACUCCUGGCUGCCGCCCAAGUCCGGUGACGCCAAGCGCAUCUUCUUCGCCAACAAGCCUUCACUGCCGAGCCAAACUCCUCCUGGCCUCCAGAACUACCGGAAGAACGACCUCAUGAAGAAGCGCGGUGACGGCAUGGGGCAGAGGACGGCCAACGACCGGGUCUACGACUACGACGUGUACAACGAUCUCGGCUCCGGCGAGGAACCCGGUGCCGUCGGCGCCCGCCCCGUUAUCGGCGGUAACCAGAAGUUCCCCUACCCACGGCGCUGCCGCACCGGCCGCCCCCGAUCCAUCAAAGAUCGGCAGUCGGAGACGAGGAGCGGCGACGUGUACGUGCCGAGGGACGAGGCGUUCGUGCAGUUCAAGGUGAAGACGCUGCAGUCGGUGCUCCAUGCCGUGGUGCCGGCCGUGCAGUCCACGUUCAUCGACCGCAACCAAGGCUUCCCCUCCUUCUUCGUCAUCGACAAGUUGUUCGAGGACGGUGUCGUGCUGCCGCGCACUCGAGAGGUCGGCUUCCUCCGCAGCGCCGUGCCGCGCCUCCUUCAGUUCCUCCGCGACGGCCUUGGCGACAAGCUUCUCCUCUUCCAGCGCCCCGCAAAUGUCAAAAAGGACAAGUUUGCGUGGUUACGUGACGAGGAGUUCGCCAGGGAGACGCUCGCCGGCAUCAACCCAUACGCCAUCGAGCUUGUCAGGGAAUUUCCCCUCAAGAGCAAUCUGGACCCGGCAAAGUACGGGCCGGCGGAGUCGGCUAUCACCGCCGAGCUGCUGGAGGCGCAGAUGGGGCACACCAUGACGGUGGCCGAGGCGGUGGAGAAGAAGAGACUGUUCAUGCUCGACUUCCACGACCUGUUCCUGCCGUACGUGCACAGGAUCCGUGCCCUGGAGCACACCACCAUGUAUGGCUCCCGCACCAUCUUGUUCCUUACCGACGACGGCACGCUGCGCCUCCUCGCCAUCGAGCUCACCCGGCCGGCCUCGCCGACGACGCCGCAGUGGAGGCAGGUGUUCACUUCGUCCACGGACACCACCAAGUCCUGGCUAUGGCGGAUGGCCAAGUCCCACGUUCGUGCCCACGACGCCGGCCACCACGAGCUCGUCACCCACUGGCUGCGCACGCACUGCGCCGUGGAGCCCUACAUCCUCGCGGCCAACAGGCAGCUCAGCGAGAUGCAUCCCGUCUACCAGCUCCUGCGCCCGCACUUCCGCUACACCAUGCGGAUCAACGCGCUCGCACGCUCCUUCCUGGUCAACGGCGGCGGCAUCAUCGAGAGUACCUUCUCACCUCAGAGGUACGGCAUGGAGCUCAGCUCCGUGGCCUACGACAAGCUCUGGCGCUUCGACACGGAGGCCCUCCCAGCGGACCUCGUCCGGAGGGGCAUGGCAGAGGAGGACCCCACGGCGGAGCACGGCCUCAGGUUGGCCAUCAAAGACUACCCGUUCGCCAACGACGGGCUCCUUAUCUGGGACGCCAUCAAGGGGUGGGUUCAGGCGUACGUUUCCUACUACCCGGACGACGACAGCGUCACACAAGACGAGGAGCUGCAGGCGUUCUGGACGGAGGUGCGCACCGAGGGACACGGCGACAAGAAGGAGGCGCCGUGGUAGCCUAAGCUGGACACGCCGGAGACCCUCGCGCACACGCUCACCACAAUAAUCUGGGUCGCGGCGGCGCACCACGCGGCGGUCAACUUCGGGCAGUAUGACUUUGGGGGGUACUUCCCGAACCGCCCCUCGAUCGCGCGUACCAAGAUGCCGGUGGAGGAGCCCGUGGACGACGCCGCCUUGAAGAAAUUCCUCGACAACCCGGACGAGGCGCUCCGGGAAUGCUUCCCGUCGCAGGUGCAGGCAACGGUGGUGAUGGCGGUGCUGGAGGUGCUGUCCAGCCACUCCCCCGACGAGGAGUACCUCGGAGGGAUGGAGACCGCGCCGUGGGGCGAUGACACCGCGGUGCGGGCGGCGUACACGAGGUUCAACGACGAGCUGAAGGUGGCGGAGGGGGUCAUCAAGGAAAGGAACGAGAACAGAAUGCUCAAGAAUCGGUGCGGCGCUGGCAUCGUGCCGUAUGAGCUCAUGAAACCAUUCUCGCAGCCCGGCCCCGGUGUCAUGCGCAAGGGCAUCCCCAACAGCACCUCCAUCUGA